Molecule: ribosomal RNA, 228 nt
Filed under: uncultured eukaryote
Lineage: Eukaryota
Description: partial 18S ribosomal RNA
Rfam family: Eukaryotic small subunit ribosomal RNA
Source: RNAcentral
GGAAAUCUCACCAGGCCCGGACACUGGAAGGAUUGACAGAUUGAUAGCUCUUUCUUGAUUCGGUGGGUGGUGGUGCAUGGCCGUUCUUAGUAGGUUGAGUGUUUUGUCUUGUUAAUUCCGUUAACGAACGAGACCUUAACCUGCUAAAUAGUGACGCGGUUCAUCGAACCGUGGGCCACUUCUUAGAGGGACUAUCGGAUUCAAACCGAUGGAAGUGUGAGGCAAUAA